CCCUUAGAUGUUCUGGGCCGCACGCGCGCUACACUGAUGCAUUCAACAAGUGAUUUGUCCUGGUCCGACGGGAUUCGGGUAAUCUUUCCAAUAUGCAUCGUGAUGGGGAUUGACCUUUGAAAUUGUAGGUCAUCAACGAGGAAUUCCUAGUAAGCGUAAGUCAUCAGCUUGCGCUGAUUAUGUCCCUGCCCUUUGUACACACCGCCCGUCGCUCCUACCGAUUUCGAGUGAUGCGAUGAAAUUUUUGGACCGUGUCGCCCCGGUGAUGUGGAAAAUCAAUUAAAUCUUAUCACUUAGAGGAAGGAGAANUCGUANCA
Molecule: ribosomal RNA, 317 nt
Filed under: uncultured eukaryote
Lineage: Eukaryota
Description: partial 18S ribosomal RNA
Rfam family: Eukaryotic small subunit ribosomal RNA
Source: RNAcentral